RNAcentral lists this ribosomal RNA (397 nucleotides) under uncultured bacterium. RNAcentral's name for it is "partial 16S ribosomal RNA". It matches the Rfam family "Bacterial small subunit ribosomal RNA", at positions 523 to 918 of the family's 1533-position model. The record is from RNAcentral.
AUACGUAGGUGGCAAGCGUUGUCCGGAAUUAUUGGGCGUAAAGCGCGCGCAGGUGGUUCCUUAAGUCUGAUGUGAAAGCCCCCGGCUCAACCGGGGAGGGUCAUUGGAAACUGGGGAACUUGAGUGCAGAAGAGGAUAGUGGAAUUCCAAGUGUAGCGGUGAAAUGCGUAGAGAUUUGGAGGAACACCAGUGGCGAAGGCGACUGUCUGGUCUGUAACAGACACUGAGGCGCGAAAGCGUGGGGAGCAAACAGGAUUAGAUACCCUGGUAGUCCACGCCGUAAACGAUGAGUGCUAAGUGUUGGGGGGUUUCCGCCCCUCAGUGCUGCAGCUAACGCAUUAAGCACUCCGCCUGGGGAGUACGGUCGCAAGACUGAAACUCAAAGGAAUUGACGGGG